RNAcentral lists this unclassified non-coding RNA (345 nucleotides) under soil metagenome. RNAcentral's name for it is "partial contains 5.8S ribosomal RNA, internal transcribed spacer 2, and large subunit ribosomal RNA". The stretch from base 1 to 120 matches the Rfam family "5.8S ribosomal RNA", at positions 35 to 154 of the family's 154-position model. The record is from RNAcentral.
GAUGAAGAACGUAGCGAAAUGCGAUACGUAAUGUGAAUUGCAGAAUUCAGUGAAUCAUCGAGUCUUUGAACGCACAUUGCGCCCCCUGGUAUUCCGGGGGGCAUGCCUGUCCGAGCGUCAUUGCUGCCCUCAAGCACGGCUUGUGUGUUGGGCCUCCGUCCUCCUCCCGGGGGACGGGCCCGAAAGGCAGCGGCGGCACCGCGUCCGGUCCUCGAGCGUAUGGGGCUUCGUCACCCGCUCUUGUAGGCCCGGCCGGCGCUUGCCGACACAUCAAUCUUUUUUCCAGGUUGACCUCGGAUCAGGUAGGGAUACCCGCUGAACUUAAGCAUAUCAAAAAGCGGAGGA